RNAcentral lists this ribosomal RNA (427 nucleotides) under uncultured bacterium. RNAcentral describes it as "bacterial SSU rRNA". It matches the Rfam family "Bacterial small subunit ribosomal RNA", at positions 355 to 774 of the family's 1533-position model. The record is from RNAcentral.
UGGGGAAUUUUGGACAAUGGGCGCAAGCCUGAUCCAGCCAUGCCGCGUGCGGGAUGAAGGCCUUCGGGUUGUAAACUGCUUUUGUACGGAACGAAAAGACUCCUUCUAAUAAAGGGGGUCCAUGACGGUACCGUAAGAAUAAGCACCGGCUAACUACGUGCCAGCAGCCGCGGUAAUACGUAGGGUGCGAGCGUUAAUCGGAAUUACUGGGCGUAAAGCGUGCGCAGGCGGUCUUGUAAGACAGUCGUGAAAGCCCCGGGCUUAACCUGGGAACUGCGAUUGUGACUGCAAGGCUAGAGUGUGUCAGAGGGGGGUGGAAUUCCGCGUGUAGCAGUGAAAUGCGUAGAUAUGCGGAGGAACACCGAUGGCGAAGGCAAUCCCCUGGGCCUGCACUGACGCUCAUGCACGAAAGCGUGGGGAGCAAACA